CUCCCUUGAUGCUUUGCUAGCAUUAUGGCCCUAAGAGCAUUAUGGGAGCUGUAGUCCAAAACAUCUGGAAGGCCACAGAUUGCCCACCUCUAUUUUAGAUUAAUCUCCUUUAUUCCAGCCUAAAUGUGUAACCUUGUGUCCUAUGUAUAGCCCUGUUUAUGAAUAGAUUUCCAGAUAAUGGUUUGUCCUGGCCCCGAAUAUAUUUAUAUAAUGUUAUCAUAUCCCCUCAGUCUGUAUGUAUUUACUGUGUGUGUGUAUAUUCAGCAGACUGUGUGUGUGAAUUCAACAGUCUGUGUUUGUGUGUAUGUAUUCAGCAGACUGUGUGUUGUGUAUGUAUUCAGCAGACUGUGUGUAUGUAUUCAACAGACUGUGUCUACUCAGCAGUCUCUCUGUGUGUACUCAGCAUUCUGUGUGUGUGUAUUCAGCAGUCUGUCUGUAUGUGUAUUUAGCAGUGUGUAUUUAGCCAUGUGUAUUUACCAGUGUGUAUUUAGCAGUGUAUGUAUUCAGCAGUUUGUGUGUAUUCAGCAGUGUGUUUAUUCAGCAGCCUGUGUGUGUGUGUAUUCAGCAGACUGUGUGUACGUAUUCAGCAGUCUGUUUGUAUGUUUGUGUGUGUGUGUGUGUAUUCAGCGGACGAUGUGCGUGUAUUCAGCGCACUGUGUGCGUGUAUUCAGCGGACUGUGUGCGUGUAUUUAGUAGUCUGUGUGUGUGUUGGUGUGUGUAUGCAUUCAGCAGUCAGUGUGUGAAUGUGUUCAGCAGUCGGUGUGUGAAUGUGUUCAGCAGUCUGUGUGCAUGUAUUGUAUGUAUGGCAUUUGUUGGAGAUACUAAUAAAUAUAAGCUUAAUU
This is a non-coding RNA of Pelobates cultripes (western spadefoot toad), 842 nucleotides long. Lineage: Eukaryota; Metazoa; Chordata; Amphibia; Anura; Pelobatidae. The record is from the annotation of a GenBank genome assembly.